UGGGUAGAUGGCGAAAUUGGUAAACGCAUCAAAUUCAAAAUUUGACGACGAGAGUCAUGUGGGUUCAACUCCCACUCUACCUAA
This 84-nucleotide transfer RNA is filed under the name Cyanidiococcus yangmingshanensis. Its description in RNAcentral is "tRNA-Leu". It matches the Rfam family "tRNA". Rfam says of the family: Transfer RNA (tRNA) molecules are approximately 80 nucleotides in length. Their secondary structure includes four short double-helical elements and three loops (D, anti-codon, and T loops). Further hydrogen bonds mediate the characteristic L-shaped molecular structure. tRNAs have two regions of fundamental functional importance: the anti-codon, which is responsible for specific mRNA codon recognition, and the 3' end, to which the tRNAs corresponding amino acid is attached (by aminoacyl-tRNA synthetases). tRNAs cope with the degeneracy of the genetic code in two manners: having more than one tRNA (with a specific anti-codon) for a particular amino acid; and 'wobble' base-pairing, i.e. permitting non-standard base-pairing at the 3rd anti-codon position. The record is from RNAcentral. Lineage: Eukaryota; Rhodophyta; Bangiophyceae; Cyanidiales; Cyanidiaceae.